This 332-nucleotide ribosomal RNA is filed under the name uncultured Pseudomonadota bacterium. RNAcentral's name for it is "bacterial SSU rRNA". It matches the Rfam family "Bacterial small subunit ribosomal RNA", at positions 568 to 898 of the family's 1533-position model. Lineage: Bacteria; Pseudomonadati; Pseudomonadota. The record is from RNAcentral.
UGCGCAGGCGGUUUUGUAAGCCAGAUGUGAAAUCCCCGGGCUUAACCUGGGAACUGCAUUUGGGACUGCAAGGCUUGAGUACGGCAGAGGGGGGUAGAAUUCCUGGUGUAGCAGUGAAAUGCGUAGAUAUCAGGAGGAAUACCGAUGGCGAAGGCAGCCCCCUGGGUCGAUACUGACGCUCAUGCACGAAAGCGUGGGGAGCAAACAGGAUUAGAUACCCUGGUAGUCCACGCCCUAAACGAUGUCAACUAGUUGUUGGGGGCCUUACCGCCCUUAGUAACGCAGCUAACGCGUGAAGUUGACCGCCUGGGGAGUACGGUCGCAAGAUUAAA